UACAGAGGGUGCGAGCGUUAUUCGGAAUUACUGGGCGUAAAGGGCGCGUAGGCGGAUUAUUAAGUUAGAUGUGAAAUCCCUGGGCUUAACCUAGGAACUGCAUCUAAUACUGGUAGACUAGAGUGCGGUAGAGGAUAGUGGAAUUUCCGGUGUAGCGGUGAAAUGCGUAGAUAUCGGAAGGAACACCAGUGGCGAAGGCGGCUAUCUGGACGGACACUGACGCUGAGGCGCGAGAGCGUGGGGAGCAAACAGG
This 253-nucleotide ribosomal RNA is filed under the name uncultured bacterium. Its description in RNAcentral is "partial 16S ribosomal RNA". It matches the Rfam family "Bacterial small subunit ribosomal RNA", at positions 524 to 776 of the family's 1533-position model. The record is from RNAcentral.